RNAcentral lists this non-coding RNA (50 nucleotides) under unclassified sequences. RNAcentral's name for it is "pemK RNA". It matches the Rfam family "pemK RNA". The record is from RNAcentral.
AUAAUGAUACUUCCCAGUAGGGGCUAAAAGAGCGGGUGAAAUGCCCAUGA